This 30-nucleotide non-coding RNA is filed under the name Mus musculus (house mouse). The record is from RNAcentral. Lineage: Eukaryota; Metazoa; Chordata; Mammalia; Rodentia; Muridae.
UGAGAAGCAGGAUCACAGGGUCCCUCGCCU